AUUCAGCUGAUGAGUCCCAAAUAAGGCGAAACGCCCGUCCCGGAU
This 45-nucleotide non-coding RNA is filed under the name Schistosoma mansoni. Lineage: Eukaryota; Metazoa; Platyhelminthes; Trematoda; Strigeidida; Schistosomatidae. The record is from RNAcentral.